GAUGAAGAACGUAGCGAAAUGCGAUAAGUAAUGUGAAUUGCAGAAUUCAGUGAAUCAUCGAAUCUUUGAACGCACCUUGCGCUCCUUGGUAUUCCGAGGAGCAUGCCUGUUUGAGUGUCAUGAAAUUCUCAACCUUUUCAGCUUUCUUUGUUGAUCAGGCUUGGAUGUGGGAGUAUGCGGGCUUCUCAGAAGUCGGCUCUCCUGAAAUGCAUUAGCGGGACCUUUGUUGCCUGGCUUUGGUGUGAUAAUUAUCUACGCCAUUGUAGUCAAGCAGCUUAAAAUGAGGUUUCAGCUUCUAACCAUCUCCCCUGAGACAACUUUUUGACAAUUUGACCUCAAAUCAGGUAGGACUACCCGCUGAACUUAAGCAUAUCAAUAAGCGGAGGA
RNAcentral lists this unclassified non-coding RNA (387 nucleotides) under soil metagenome. RNAcentral describes it as "partial contains 5.8S ribosomal RNA, internal transcribed spacer 2, and large subunit ribosomal RNA". The stretch from base 1 to 120 matches the Rfam family "5.8S ribosomal RNA", at positions 35 to 154 of the family's 154-position model. The record is from RNAcentral.